UAGGAUAAGGAAGUAAAUUCAGUCAAUAGGCACUUCACUUGUCGUUUGCGCCUCUCUAUAUGAAUGGUGACCCGGUACGAGAAAUCCGAACCGGCCCUGCCGAGGGAGCUGAUGGUAAAAUUGUUAAGCCGGAUGCAAAAAGACACUACUCGUGAACGACGUGAUUGUGAAAGCGAACACCAAGACGAAGGAGUAUUUUAUCGAAUCGGAGCUGGACGAGCUCAAGAAUGCCACUUCAAUGCAACAGAUAAUCCAGGCGGUCAGUAUUAUUAAUUACAAACUGCGAGAGCUCGAGUGCUUUGAUUUGGUCAUUAUCACGCUCGAUGCGCGUCCACCGGAGCUUCCAGGUGCGGCAAAUGUGAUCAUCGAAGUUAUCGAAAAACAAUAGUCCACUUUUGGCCAAAUCGGAACUUUCACCAAUUGAAAUGUUCUCAAUACGAAAGAUUCAGGAGAUCAGCGUGAAGCCUCUGCUCUUAGUGAUGAAGUAUGUCACACUCCGCCGAUUAAUUUAUGUAUUGUUGAGGACAGAUAUGACCUUUGAAAUACAUUGGAAGAAGGUAGUGCCAGGGAGCUUGAGAAACAGGUCAGUUGUCUUCUAUUUGCAAUUUUUUUUUUGGGUAAAUAAAUUUCCAUACCAGUGCAAAGCCCAUCAGUAUAGGUGGAACUUUGUAUGCACCUCAACUUGUAACCUUUGCUUUUUGACUUCUUUUAGCUGAUGUGCUUAAGUGAUAUUUAUUUUGUUUGAUAUUUUUUAUUUUCAUCUCCACAUGGAUAACAUUAUGGUUGCUGUGUUUAA
Molecule: long non-coding RNA, 796 nt
Organism: Mangifera indica (mango)
Lineage: Eukaryota; Viridiplantae; Streptophyta; Magnoliopsida; Sapindales; Anacardiaceae
Exons: 2
Source: RefSeq, a predicted model, not a curated record